Molecule: ribosomal RNA, 488 nt
Filed under: uncultured bacterium
Lineage: Bacteria
Description: bacterial SSU rRNA
Rfam family: Bacterial small subunit ribosomal RNA
Source: RNAcentral
CGACGAGUUUGAUCCUGGCCUCAGGACGAACGCUGGCGGCGUGCCUAACACAUGCAAGUCGAACGGACGAGGGGGAGCUUGCUCCCUGAGUUAGUGGCGAACGGGUGAGUAACGCGUGAGAAACCUGCCUUUCAGUGGGGGACAACAGUUGGAAACGACUGCUAAUACCGCAUAAUGUCAUUUGGGGGCAUCCCCGAAUGACCAAAGAUUUAUUGCUGAAAGAUGGGCUCGCGUCUGAUUAGCUAGUUGGUGGGGUAACGGCCUACCAAGGCGACGAUCAGUAGCCGGACUGAGAGGUUGAACGGCCACAUUGGGACUGAGAUACGGCCCAGACUCCUACGGGAGGCAGCAGUCGGGAAUAUUGCGCAAUGGAGGAAACUCUGACGCAGUGACGCCGCGUAUAGGAAGAAGGUUUUCGGAUUGUAAACUAUUGUCGAUAGGGAAGAAAAAAGACUGUACCUAUCAAGAAAGCUCCGGCUAACUACGUG